GACGAACGCUGGCGGCGUGCUUAACACAUGCAAGUCGAACGGAAAGGCCCUGCUUUUGUGGGGUGCUCGAGUGGCGAACGGGUGAGUAACACGUGAGUAACCUGCCCUUGACUUUGGGAUAACUUCAGGAAACUGGGGCUAAUACCGGAUAGGAGCUCCUGCUGCAUGGUGGGGGUUGGAAAGUUUCGGCGGUUGGGGAUGGACUCGCGGCUUAUCAGCCUGUUGGUGGGGUAGUGGCUUACCAAGGCUUUGACGGGUAGCCGGCCUGAGAGGGUGACCGGCCACAUUGGGACUGAGAUACGGCCCAGACUCCUACGGGAGGCAGCAGUGGAGAAUAUUGCACAAUGGGCGGAAGCCUGAUGCAGCAACGCCGCGUGCGGGAUGACGGCCUUCGGGUUGUAAACCGCUUUCGCCUGUGACGAAGCGUGAGUGACGAUAAUGGGUAAAGAAGCACCGGCUAACUACGUG
Molecule: ribosomal RNA, 468 nt
Filed under: uncultured bacterium
Lineage: Bacteria
Description: partial 16S ribosomal RNA
Rfam family: Bacterial small subunit ribosomal RNA
Source: RNAcentral